AUGGAAUGCACUUGGAUACAUUUGUCCGGCUACGAUGGCCAAAGGUGUAUCAACUACCUUCUAGGGAUGUCCUUUCUUCGGAUUCCAGGAUCCGCUUCGGUCAGUCCAAGUCCAUUGCAUCUCAAAGCUCCUCCAGAUCUCGUCAUGCAUGAUUUGGUUCAUGAUCUUGCAUCAAUAAUUGCUGCUGAUGAAUUUAUUGAUCUGGAUGCUACCAAAAGCACCAGCUGGAACAAAGCUCGUUACUGCCGACAUGCACAGUUAACCAACUUUAAGAAUGAUCCCAAGGUUUUCAAAUAUAUUCCACGCAAGCUUAGGUCCCUCCACUUCAGGGAUUUGGGGGUACUGCAACUCCCGAAAAAGGCAUUUUCUCGAUCCAAGUACUUACGUGUCUUGGACCUAAGUGGGCAUUCAGCUAAAGGCCAAUCUGCUCCAAGGAGUGUGGUGCUGCCAUCUUCAAUUAAUCAAUUGAAGCUAAUUAGGUAUAUUGAUGCCACAGGCUUGCCAAUAAAAUCACUUCCUAAGCAUUUUCAUGCACUUCAAAACAUGGAAACUCUUAUUCUGUCCAAUUCCUUGCUUCAAACCUUGCCUGACAGUAUUUGUCGCCUCAACAAACUUUGCUAUUUGGACCUAUCUUUCAGUAGCAGCCUCAGUAAGCUACCUGCACCGCUAGGAGAACUCUCUCAACUCUUUUUUCUCAAUCUAUCCGGGUGUUGUACACUGCAAGAAUUGCCUGAAUCAAUUUGCAAGCUUAAAUGCUUGCAUCACCUAGAUAUGUCAGGCUGUUGUGGUCUUCAAAAGCUCCCUGAUGAAUUUGGUAGCCUUCUUAAACUCUCAUUCUUAAACUUGUCGAGUUGUUCAAAGCUCACCAAACUACCUGACAAUGUUAGCUUUCCAUGCUUAGAACAUCUGAACCUAUCAAGUUGCCAUGAGCUAGAAAACCUGCCAACUGAUUUCGGCCACAUUCGGAAACUUGAGUUCCUGAACCUCUCUGGUUGCUACAAGGUUUCAAUGCUGCCAGGAUCAUUCUGCCAACUUAAUCACUUGAAAUACCUAGAUCUUUCAGAUUGUCAUAACCUUGAAGAACUCCCUGAAUGUUUUGAUCACCUCUAUGAGCUUCAAUAUUUGAACCUAACAAAUUGUCCUAAGAUCCAACAAUUGCCUGAGUCGCUAUGCAAGUUGUUUAAGUUGAGGUGUCUCUAUUUGUCAUACUGUCUAGGGCUCAGUGAGCUCCCCUCCUCAUUUGGUGACCUUAAGCUUCAAAUACUGCACAUGAAUGGCCUUCCAAAAAUGUAUAACUGCCCUGAUAGCAUUGGCGACAUGACUAGUCUCACCCAGUUGGUGGUUGACAGUGCAACUUCUAAUUUGCUUGAAAAGGUUCUAGCCAUUCGAAAGCGUCUAAAUCUUGUGGGCACAAUAGUGCAUCAGGUACAUGAGAUAGAGAGUAGAGGAUGCAGCAGUAUAGUGGAUCUUGCAGGAUUGACUUGUUCAGAUCUGUUACUUAGAGGCCUUCAGAAUGUCAAGCGUCCAGAAGAUGCAGACAGAGUCAAACUGCGUGAUAAAUCAGAUAUUCGAGCACUAAAACUUCAGUGGGAAAGUGAAGGAGCUGAAUCUGUGCUGGACAGGCUCAUACCUCCUCGGACUCUUGAAAACUUUUGGUUACUUGGGUAUAGGAGCAAGGAUUUCCCUGACUGGAUGUUGCACAUCUCGUCCUACCUCCCUUUUCUCAGUGAACUGACCCUUCAUGGUUUGGAAGCAUGUGAUUGUCUUCCUCCAUUCGGGGCACUGCCAAAUUUAAGAAGGCUGUGUGUGAGGAACAUUCCCAACAUUAGGAAAGUCGGUAAGGAAUUCUACGGAGAUGGCAGAACUUGUAUGAAACUAAGAGUGCUGAUAUUGGUGUCGAUGGAGAAUUUGGUGGAAUGGUGGACAACAGAGUCAAGUACAGAAAACGAAGAGUUUCUUAUCCCUAAUUUGCAUCUUUUGGAGGUACUGGACUGCCCAAGGUUGAAGUUUCUACCAUAUCCCCCAAGAAGUAUGAUUUGGGCUUUGAGCAACAGCGAGACAGUUUUGCCAGAACGGGGAUUUGGAAAACUCUCGUCUUCCGUUCGCCCUUCUAAGGUGAUUCUAAAGCAUUGUAGUUUCACUGAAGACAAGUGGGAUAGACUUCAAUACUUUCCUUCACUUGAGAUAUUUCAUUUAGACUCCGUCAGUGGUUUCCGGACUUUGUCAGAGGUCAUCCUAUGCUUCACCUCUCUCACUGGACUACAUUUAUGGUCGUUGAAGGACCUGGAGACACUCCCGACAUGGUUAGGCCACCUGGGUUCGCUACAAGUCUUUGACAUCCGAGAUUGUUGCAAUGUGACAUCUUUGCCUGAAAGCAUGAAGAACCUUGCCGCUCUUAAAAAACUGAAGUUAAAAAAGUGCAAAGGCCUGGAGAUGCUGCCGGAAUGGUUGGGACAGUUAAGUUCUCUAGAAGAAAUUUUAAUCGACGAUUGCCCCAAACUAACAUCUUUGCCUGAAAGCAUGAAGGACCUCAUCGCUCUUACGGAUCUGACGUUGUUAGGGUGCAAUGGCCUGGAGAUGUUACCGGAAUGGUUGGGACAGUUGACUUGCCUAGAAGAACUUAUCAUCGGCCUUUCUCCCAACCUGACAUAUUUGCCUGAAAGCAUACGGAAUCUCUCUGCUUUGAAGGUACUCAAAAUUGUUGCAUGUCCAAGUCUAGUUGCCAGGUGCGAAGGGGAGAAUGCCCACAAGAUUCGUCACAUCCCCAGAGUCGAAUUCUGGCGUCCAAGGAGUUAA
RNAcentral lists this ribosomal RNA (2796 nucleotides) under Triticum aestivum (bread wheat). RNAcentral's name for it is "partial small subunit ribosomal RNA". The record is from RNAcentral. Lineage: Eukaryota; Viridiplantae; Streptophyta; Magnoliopsida; Poales; Poaceae.